This 3555-nucleotide long non-coding RNA is filed under the name Homo sapiens (human). RNAcentral's name for it is "HSALNT0395706". The record is from RNAcentral. Lineage: Eukaryota; Metazoa; Chordata; Mammalia; Primates; Hominidae.
GCUGCUCCAGGACUCCUGCAAAAGCCCAGCCUUCCCUGGGAUGGCUUUCAUUCACAUGGGUGGGAGGAGCCGGGGGAGAAAUCCUGGGACUCAGGGGUGCCCGGGUUGCCGCUCUCUGGCCACUUCUGCCCAGCUAGGCUUGGAGAGAAAGGCCGAAGGCAGUUCUAGAAAACCCAACACGCUUUGAGACCUCUAAAGCAUACACGUGACUCCAUCCACCAGCUCCAGGCUGAAGACGCAGACACACAGGGUGAGAGGGCAGGUAUGGCCAGGGCUCAGACAGCCCAGGAGGAGGUGCCAGGACGGGAGCUCCAGUGAGCCAGGGCCAGGUGGAAGCUGCUUCUAUUCUCAGUUUUUAUCAAUCUACCUUAAAAGAAUUACUUAAAAUGAGGCCGGACAUGGGCUGGGAGCGGUGACUCACGCCUGUAAUGCCAGGACUUUGGGAGGCUGAGGCAGGCGGAUCACUUGAGGUCAGGAGUUUGAGACCAGCCUGGCCAAUAUGGUAAAACCCCAUCUCCACUAAAAAUAAAAAAAAUUAGCUGGGCGUGGUGGUGGAUGCCUGUAAUCUCAGCUACUCGGGAGGCUGAGGCAGGAAGAUCACUUGAACCUGGGAGGCAGAGGUUGCUGUGAGUCGAGAUCGUGCCACUUCUCUCUCGCCUGGGCGAGAGAGCAAGACUCCUCAAUUAAAAAAAAAAAAAAAAAAAGCCGCACGUGGUGGCGCACACCUAUAAUCCUACCACUUUGGGAGGCCAAAGCAAAAAGAAUGCUUGAGCUGAGGAGUUUGAGACCAUCCCGAGCCACACAGUGAGACCCCAUACCAAAAUCAGCCGGGCGUGGUGGUGCACGCCUGUAGUCCCAGCUACUCAGAAGGCUGAGGUGGGAGGAUCCCUUGAACCUGGGAGGUCAAGGUUGCAGUGAGCCGAGAUCACACCACUGCACUCCAGCCUGGGUGACAGAGCAAGACCCUGUCUCAAAAAAACAAAAACCAGAAAGAGACCAACGACUCGAAAGAGGCAGGGUGGCGAAAACCAAACAGACGCACCAAACGCAACCCUAAAACCCCUGCUCCCCAGCACAGCUCCUUCCGUCUUCGUUUCUCCUGGGGCCGCAAUCAAUGUUUGUUUAGUGAGAAAAUUCAAAGAGCCUCUCCCCGGAGAUGAGGGCGGGCGGAGCGCUGUGCUGCAGCCUCAGGAGCUGGUGGAAGACGCCUCACAGGAGCAUCGCUCUCUCUGCAGCCGCCUUUCUCCACUGUGACAUCGGGGCCAGGUCACUCUCUGGGGUGGGGCCGACCUGGGCACUGCAGGGCGCUGAGUAGCGUCCCUGGCCUCCAUCCACUCCACGCCAGGAGCAUCCCCCAGUUGUGACAACCACACACAUCCCCAGACAGUGCCAGGUGUCUCCUGGGAGGGAGAACUGCCCCUGGUUGAGAAGGGCUGAUCUCCAGCUAUAAAGACCAAAGUCUGGCAGGGUAAGCAAUUUGUCUGAGUCACAGAGACAGGAUGUGGUGCAGGGGGUAUUGCAGCUGUGUACUGCUGACCCCAAAUCUCACUCUGUGCAUGACCAUACACGUCUACCGUGUGUGUGUGUGUGUGUGUGUGUGUGUGUGUGUGUGUGUGUGUGUGUGAUGUUUAAAAUGGUCUUGUAACUGUAAUUUUGUUACGUAGGUAGUAGGUGAACACAUUUUUCUUUCUUUUUUUUUUUUUCCUGAGGCGGAGUCUCGCUCUGUUGCCCAGGCGGGGGUGCAGUGGCACCAUCUCGGCUCACUGCAAGCUCCGCCUCCCGGGUUCACGCCAUUCUCCUGCCUCAGCCUCCUGAGUAGCUGGGACUACAGGCGUGCGCCACCAUGCCCAGCUAAUUUUGUAUUUUUAGUAUAGAUGGGGUUUCACCAUGUUGGCCAGGAUGGUCUUGAACUCUUGACCUCGUGAUCCGCCUGCCUUGGCCUCCCAAAGUGCUAGGAUUACAAACGUGAGCCACUGCACCCAGCCCAUGCUAUGUUUAUUUUCUACAACCACCCCUCCACUACAUGAAUAGUGUUGUACUGUGGGGAUACUCCCAUUCAGUACACCAUUGUGGAUUUCACUUUGCCACUGCAAAGCAGCCAAAUAUCAUUCUUUAAUCACUCCCUUACUGAUGGACAUGUCCAGUUUCCAUUACAGUAGAACAAGACGGGCAUUCUUCAGCAGAUAGGACGAGACCCCCAGAAAGGCCAAGGGGCACCUCUACGAGGUCCGUAAGCCACUGGCUCUCCUUUCCCCAUCCCAUGAGGCCCCACUGUCCACUGGGUUCUUGCCCCGAGUUAUCCAGUAAUAGGUUCAGACCCCAGGGAAGCAGCCAGCCCCACUGUUCCUAAGUUCCAGUCACCAACAAGUGCUUGCCAUUUUAUAUAAAUACAUCACUGGGCACGGUGGCUCACCCCUGUAAUCCCAGCACUUUGGGAGGCUGAGGCGGGAGAAUCGUUUGAGCCCAGGAGUUCAAGAUUAGCCUGGGAAACAUAGUGCCAUCCCAUAUCUACAAAAAAACUUGCCGGGCGCGGUGGCUCACGCCUGUAAUCCCAGCACUUUUGGGAGGCAGAGGCAGGCGGAUCACGAGGUCAGGAGAUCGAGACCAUCCUGGCUAACACAGCGAAACCCCGUCUCUACUAAAAAUACAAAAAAUUAGCCGGCUGUGGUGGCGGGCGCCUGUAGUCCCAGCUACUCGGGAGGCUGAGGCGGGAGAAUGGCGUGAACCUGGGAGGUGGAGCUUGCAGUGAGCCAAGAUUGUGCCACUGCACUCCAGCCUGGGCGACAGAGCUAGACUCCGUCUCAAAAAAAAAAAAAAAAAAAAAAACAAACUUAAAAAGCUACUCAAGCGUGCUGGUGCACCUGUAGUCCCGGCUACCUGGAAGGUUGAGGCAGGAGGAUCGUUUGAGCCCAAGAGGUGGAGGCUGCAGUGAGCUAGGAUCAUGCCACUGCACUCCAACCUGGGUGACAGAGAGAGACCUUGUACCCCCUACCCCCCACAAAAAAAGAAGGAAAAAAAUGCAAAAUAAAGAUGACAUAGAAAUAUGAGGAAACAGCGUAGAAAUACAGGGAAAUGGCUGCAGCAGCCAGGACAUGGAUGCAACACCUGUGCGUGCCGGGUGCCAUCCUGGGAGGAGCUCACACAGUCCUCACCCCAGCAGGGACUACGACCUCCCUCAGCUUCACAGCAGAAGCGGCAAGAGUCCUGUCCCGAACCCGUGGUAAGGGUGAGCGGUGGGGCCGAGACCUGACCCGGACGCCCAUCCUCAGCCCCGGUGCUAAGCUGCCCCUUUGCCUCACUGGGGUGGCCUGGGAGGGAAUGAAUCAGGUGCUGGGCAGGCCCUUCCAUGGAAACCUAUGGGCACUCAGGUGAAUUCCGAGAGCAUCGUUCAGCAUGGAGAGAAUUCACAGGGCCGGCGAGGAUGGCAGGGAUGGCCCCCUUGGAUGACUUUACUUCCACGGAUGCUGCCCUGUCAGGGCUCACCCAAUGCUUUAAAAAUCAACGUGCUCCACGUUGUUUUUGUUUGUUUGUUUGUUUUGAGAUGGAGUCUCGCUC